Molecule: ribosomal RNA, 500 nt
Filed under: uncultured Glomeromycotina
Lineage: Eukaryota; Fungi; Glomeromycota
Description: partial small subunit ribosomal RNA
Rfam family: Eukaryotic small subunit ribosomal RNA
Source: RNAcentral
CCAAUAGCGUAUAUUAAAGUUGUUGCAGUUAAAAAGCUCGUAGUUGAAUUUCGGGAUUAGUAAGUUGGUCGUGCCUCUGGUAUGUACUGGCUUUACUGAUUCCUCCUUCUUGAAGAACUGUAAUGUCAUUAAUUUGGUGUUGCAGGGAAACAGGACUGUUACUUUGAAAAAAUUAGAGUGUUUAAAGCAGGCUAACGCUUGAAUACAUUAGCAUGGAAUAAUGAAAUAGGACGUUUGAUCCUAUUUUGUUGGUUUCUAGGAUUGACGUAAUGAUUAAUAGGGAUAGUUGGGGGCAUCAGUAUUCAAUUGUCAGAGGUGAAAUUCUUGGAUUUAUUGAAGACUAACUACUGCGAAAGCAUUUGCCAAGGAUGUUUUCAUUAAUCAAGAACGAAAGUUAGGGGAUCGAAGACGAUCAGAUACCGUCGUAGUCUUAACCAUAAACUAUGCCGACUAGGGAUCGGAUGAUGUUAAUUUUUUAAUGACUCAUUCGGCGCCUUACG